AUGGCCGUAUAUGUCUAUUGUGGUUGUGCCCUUGAGGCGUGGCUUCCGGAGCUAACGCGUUAAAUCGACCGCCUGGGGAGUACGGCCGCAGGUUAAAACUCAAAUGAAUUGACGGGGGCCCGCACAAGCGGUGGAGCAUGUGGUUUAAUUCGAUGCAACGCGAAGAACCUUACCUACUCUUGACAUCCAGAGAACUUAGCAAAGAUGCUUUGGUGCCUUCGGGAACUCUGAGACAGGUGCUGCAUGGCUGUCGUCAGCUCGUGUUGUGAAAUGUUGGGUUAAGUCCCGCAACGAGCGCAACCCUUAUCCUUUGUUGCCAGCGGUUCGGCCGGGAACUCAAAGGAGACUGGCAGUGAUAAACUGGAGGAAGGUGGGGAUGACGUCAAGUCAUCAUGGCCCUUACGAGUAAGGCUACACACGUGCUACAAUGGCGUAUACAAAGAGAAGCGACCUCGCGAGAGCAAGCGGAACUCAUAAAGUACGUCGUAAUCCGGAUUGGAGUCUGCAACUCGACUCCAUGAAGUCGGAAUCGCUAGUAAUCGUAGAUCAAAAUGCUACGGUGAAUACGUUCCCGGGCCUUGUACACACCGCCCGUCACACCAUGGGAGUGGGUUGCAAAACAAGUACGUAACUUAACCUUCGGGAGGGCGCUUACCACUUUGUGAUUCAUGACUGGGGUGAAGUCAUAAC
Molecule: ribosomal RNA, 690 nt
Filed under: Serratia marcescens
Lineage: Bacteria; Pseudomonadati; Pseudomonadota; Gammaproteobacteria; Enterobacterales; Yersiniaceae
Description: bacterial SSU rRNA
Rfam family: Bacterial small subunit ribosomal RNA
Source: RNAcentral